UAUAUAUAUAAUGCUCUUUAAGUGAAUCUGAUAAAAAGCACAAUUAAUAUUGAUCUAUUGAAUGUGUAUAAUCUCUGAAAGGUGAUGUUUGAUCUUACUGGUACAAAAAAGUUUAAAAAAGAAUCAUAUUGUAUACUGAAUUAUUACAUGGAAAUGAUUAGAAAACCUGCCAUUUAUGAAAGUUUAAUCAGUUUUUUACCUGAAUGAAUUGUUCCUUAAAAUGGGCUUUCCAUUCUUUCACUUUUAGAAAAACAAACUUUGAAGGAAUGCUUUUGCUAUUAAUUUUUUAGGACUGACUCUUAAAUACAUAUAAAAUGAAGAAAGUGGGACUGUCAUACUGUUAUGUGGAAAUUCUACUGGCAAAAAAUUGAGUGAUAAUAUUUUGCUAUCUGCAUUAUGACUAAAACACUUAUUUCUUUUCAUAUGCACACAAAGAUUUCAGAAAAUCUCUUUGAAGAAAGGAAAAAUAGAGGGUUGCAACAGUUUUCAAACUUAGCUUCUGAUUUAUAACUUUCUCAAUUAGAGAUAAGGAAAACAAUAUAUAAUUUUCAAUUGUAACUUUGUUUCCUUUCUCCAAAUUAGGACCAAGUUUGGAAACACUUGACUUAUUAAAGUUAUGGUUAUCUACUUACUUAUGAAAUGUGUACGAAUAUUUCCAACUACAGGUGACCCUUGAAUAACACAGGGGUUGCGGUGCAGUCAAAAACCUGCAUAUAAUUUUUCAUCCCCCCAAAACUUAAUUACUAAUCGCCUACUGUUCACCAGAAGCCUUACCGGUAACAUGAACAGUCGAUUCGUACAUGUUUUGUACAGUAGAAUAAGCCAGGGCAAAAGUGACAUUGAGAAAAACAGAAGGAAGAGGAAAUACACUUACAGUACUAUACAGUAUCCAAAAAUAAUCCAUGUGUAAGUAAAGUAGACCCGCACAGUUCGAAACCAUGUUGGUCAAGGGUCAACUGUAUAUUACAACUGUUCCUGUCUAGAAUGUUCUUAUUUAGAUCUUUCUUAUACAAGGUAGCCUCUCCCUGAAUGCCCCAAACGGGCUCCAAAAUAGCGUACUGAACAUAAUCAACACUGGUGAUAAGGAUUCCAAUGUCUUUACAAAUGUAGGUGUGAGGACAAAUGUUUUGGCUGACAUGUUUCCCAAUAUUUUCAGAGACUGUUUUCCAUAAUACCUUUUUUUUAAUUGAAGUAUAGUUGACAGACAAUGUUACACUCAUUUCAGUAUACAAAUUCAGAUUGGACAAUUGUAGACACUAUGCUAUGCUCACUACCGUACGUGUAGUUACCCUCUGUCACCAUACAACAUUAAUACAAUAUUAUUGACGAUACUUCAUAUGCUGUAUUCUUCAUUCCUGUGACUUACCUAUUUUAUAACUGGAAUUGGUACCUCUUCCUCCUCUUCACCUAUUUUGUCCUUACUCUCUACCCACCUCCCCUCUACCAACCACUAAUGUGUCCUCCGUAGUUGAUUCUGUUUGUUGACUUGUUUGGUUUUUUUAUACUCCACAUGUAAGUGAAAUCAGAUGGUAUUUAUUUGUCUUUCUCCGAUUUAUUUCACCUAGCAUAAUUCCCUCUAGGUCUAUCAGUGUUGUCACAAAUGGCAAGAUCUCAUUCUUUUUGACAGCUGAGGUAUAUUUCAUUGUAUACAUAUUACACAUCUUCUUUAUCCAUUCAUCUAUCGAUGGAUACUUAGGUUGCUUCCAUAUUUUGGUUAUUGCAAACAAUGUUUCAAUAAACAUAGGGAUGCACACAACUUUUCAAAUUAGUGUUUUCAUUUUCUUUGGGUAAAUACGCACUAGUGGUAUUAAUGAAUAUCUAUCUAUUUUUAAGUUUUUGAGGAACCAUAACACUUUUUUGACAAUAGCAUUAUAUUCAGGCCUUAUAAAAUGAAUAGGACAACAUUACUAUACCAGACUUAUAAAAGUAAUAACUCAAUACCAGAUGAUGGGGGAAGGCUUUAUUCAAACAAUUUUAUAUUACUAUUAAUAAUAUCGAUAUAAAAUAUAAACCACGUUUUUUACAUGACAUGACUUAAGGAACUACCAAGGUAAUGUUGCAUCUUUUCCCCAAAAGCUCUUUUCCUAAAUAUUUACCUCUGUGACCUUUAUGUUUAUUUCUAGGUAAAAACUGUGUUUCGAUGGUGAAAAUAGCUUUCAAGUCCAUGAAUGAGGACACAUGUGUACUUUUAUGUAUACCUUUCCAUUUAUCAGAAAUAUAAGAGGGACAGAGAACUUGAGAGAGAAAAUCUUCAGGUGAAGCAAGCAAGCUGAAACUGAGGAAAUUCUUCCUGAAAGAAUGAUUUAUUUCUUCCAAAGAAAUUUGGUUUAUCAAAAUCAAUCAACAAAUGAGUGAACCCAUGGUGUGGUUAUUUAUAGCCAAAUUUAAAACCCAACAGAUUUCUCUUUCCCAUCUAGCAUGCUUCUGUCUAACCUCUCAGCCUUAGUUGGAAGGGAGACUUACCUAACGGGUGAAUUUGGGAGAAGGAGCUAAGCAGUGCUUAUGUGUUUCUGAGUCUCCUCUUUGAAAAGAUGUGCCUGCCCACAGUAACAUGAAUUUGGGUCUGCUCUCAGCUCUGUAAAAGAGAAGAGCAGUGUUACUUGUCGCCUACCCAGUGUCACCUGUCACAGCUCCACCAAGAAAAAUGACUAGACAGCACUUACAGAAACAUUCUCUUCUUCCUUGACUUCAUAACUAAUGUACAUUGUUCAAAAGCAACGCCCACUCAAAAGAGAGAAAAAGUCGAAAGAAACCAUUUUAGAAACAAACAUAGAAAGUCAGACAAACUGAGGACACAGAGGAAUACCUUCCAAAUGAAAGAACAUGACAAAACCUAAGAAAAAAAAAAACUAACAAAACUAAGAAAAAAAAUCUAAGAAAAAAAAAACAGAGAUAAGUGAUGUACCUCAUAAAGAGUUCAAGGUAAAGGUCAUAAAGAUGCUCAGUGAACUUGGGAGGAGAAUGAAUGGAUCCAGUGAUAACAUCAACAAAGAGAUAGAAAAUAUAAAAAAGAACCAAUCAGAGCUGAAGGAUACAAAAACAAAAAUGACAAAUACACUAGAGGGAAUCAACAGCAGAGAAGAAGAUGCAGAAGAACAGAUCAACAAUUUGCAAGACAGGGUAGUAGAAAUCAUCCAAGCUGAAAAACAAAAAGAAAAAAGAACUUUAAAAAUGAGACUAGGUUAAGGGACCUGUGGGACAACAUCCAGUGUAAUAAUACUUGCAUUCAAGGGGUUCCAGAAAAAGAAAAGAGAAACGGGCAAAGAACUCAUUUGAAGAAAUAAAAGCUUCAUUUUAAAAAUUCAAAUAUUUGCUUGAUUUACCUAUUUAUAAAAUGCUCUACAAUCGCUCAGCAAGAUAUUUUAUAAAAAUUGAAACAGAGGUGCUAUGAGUCAAAAAAAAAAAAGGAAAAAGAAAAAAGAGUGCCAUAAGUAAGAGAGCAAUUAAAGAUGUAUUCUCAUGUAAGAAAAUAGCAAAAAUUUAACUUAAAAGAGAAAUUAACCUUUUUAGUGUUACAAGUUGAUUUAAUUCAUAAAAAAGGACUUACCAUGGGUUCUUUUUUUUGUUUAAAGUAGCCUCCAUGCUUAGUGUAGAGCCCAAUGCAGGACUUGAACUCAUGACCCCUAGAUCAAACCCUGAGCUGAGAUCAAGAGUUAGACGCUGAAAUGACUGAGCCACCCAGGCACCCCCUUGGAUUCUUUUAAAUAGUAAACAUUCAUAUGUCGUUAAGUGUUUGGAGGAUGAUCAUUCACUGACAUACAGUGGUGCAAAAACUGGAUGAUAGCAAAACCUUCAAAUGUUUAUGAACCACUGCCAACCGAAAAUAAGUCCAAGCAUCUAAGUGUACCUGUGGUCAACAGGCAAUAACAUUUACUUUCUAAAAUCAAAUUUAAAUGAAAGCUUUUCAAGAAAUUUAACAUGGGUCAGUUUAGUUAUAUUUAUUGAAUACAGUUAAUACUAGGUGUCUCUUGUGGCACACCUGGGUGGCUCAGUUGUUUUCAGUGUCCAAAUCUUGAUUUCGAUUCAGGUCAUGAUCUCAUGGUUUUGAGACUGAGCCCCACAUUCGGCUCAGUGCUGAGCAUGAAACCUGCUUGGGAUUCUCUUUCUCCCUCUCCUUUUGCCCCUCCCCUGCAUGCACUCACUCAUUCUCUCGCUAAAAUAAAAUAAAAAUAAGUAUCUCUUGGAAAUGAGAGAUCAAGGGACUAAUAUAUAUAUAUAUAUAUAUAUAUAUAUAUAUGUAUAUAUAAAAUUUAUAUAUAUAUAUAUAUAUAAUUUACCUCAGUUCUUUCUUAGCACAUAUAAUUAUGACUUUUACUUCGUAUGUAUUAGUUACUUAAACAACUCAGAAUUUCACCAAAUUAAAAGCAAAAAUUAUAUCAGAUAUCUGAAACCCAAAGUAAAACAGAUAAUAUAACUAACCUUCCACAAGGAAGUCUCCCAGUAGUCAUAUGACGGCCGUGGGUUUAAGGUAGGAAUCACUAAGUUUCCUCUUGGAGUAAGGUUUCCAUUGAGCACUGAAUUAUUUUCAAAAUGUCCACAAUAAGGUGUUUCCAGGCCUGGGCUCAUAGUAAGAGUCCUGAGUGAAGUUUGAUGCUGCUGUCUCUCUGCAAGAAGUUUUGUAUUGCUCUUUGACAGUCUCUCAUUAGUCCUGUGAAGAUUAAAAAACACAAAUACAUUUUCUUUUUCCCUAAAUCAUUCCUAAAUGACUUACAUCUUUUUAAGUUUCCAUAAUAGUAAAUAGCAUUUGCCAUUGAAUAGUGUUUUAACACUGAACAUGUGACAGAGCACACCUACUAUCUAAAAUUAUACUUUUAAAAUUGUUCUAAAGAAAUACUUAUGUUUCCAGGGGGAUCCCUAACUAACAAUUCAAAUUAGGGAAGGGAGAGAAGUGGCUAUCAGUGAUGUACAUGGCUUAAUGAAUAAUACUUGCUGUCUUCUGGAAUGGCUGUACUGACAACAUCCUUCAGGAUGCCAGUAUAUAUACACACUUAUAUUUAGUAAACCUGUUUACAGAUAUAAAGAUAAACCAUCCCUCAAAGACAUUUUCAAGCGUUUGCUUUCACCACUCUUGUACAUUUCACUUACUAUCUCAAAGAAACUGAGCAUUUGACACCGAGGAAUCACUGAGACCAACAAUCUCUAGGGGAGAUAGUGGAUGGCAGACGUGUGAUCAGAAAGAAUUAAAACAGCUACAGAGGCAAUUAGCUUAUAACAGUUACCAAGGCACUGGAGGCAGAAUCUGCCCUUUCUGUCUUCAGUCUUCCACAUACCUCCCUCCCACCAUGGUGCUCUUUUUAGCCACUUUGGGAACUAUACUCCCCUCCAGCCCUGUGUGAGUCUUUCUGUAUUUCACAUGUAUGCCAUUAUGUAAAGUAGAAAAACCAUAAAGGAUAGUUUGUCUCAAGGCCCACUCUAGUAAUAAUACCAAAGUUCACAAUCAAGAGAAUAAAUGUACCAAGCUGCCAGGAUGAGUAGUAGUAGGACUUGACCUUUUAGGUUAAAGAUGUCAUCUUCCAAAAAUGAACUCAUCGACAUUUCUAUUUAGGGUACUUCUGACAAGCAAUUUUAUAAUAAUAUGCUUCUAAAUGAGAAAGCUUCAAACAAUGCACUUAAAGACUAGCAGAUCCGAUCAAUGGGAAAUAUACA
Molecule: long non-coding RNA, 5646 nt
Organism: Acinonyx jubatus (cheetah)
Lineage: Eukaryota; Metazoa; Chordata; Mammalia; Carnivora; Felidae
Exons: 4
Source: RefSeq, a predicted model, not a curated record